This 460-nucleotide ribosomal RNA is filed under the name uncultured bacterium. Its description in RNAcentral is "partial 16S ribosomal RNA". It matches the Rfam family "Bacterial small subunit ribosomal RNA", at positions 338 to 795 of the family's 1533-position model. The record is from RNAcentral.
CCUACGGGUGGCAGCAGUGAGGAAUAUUGGUCAAUGGACGAGAGUCUGAACCAGCCAAGUAGCGUGAAGGAUGACUGCCCUAUGGGUUGUAAACUUCUUUUAUAUGGGAAUAAAAUGUUCCACGUGUGGGAUUUUGUAUGUACCAUAUGAAUAAGGAUCGGCUAACUCCGUGCCAGCAGCCGCGGUAAUACGGAGGAGCCGAGCGUUAUCCGGAUUUAUUGGGUUUAAAGGGAGCGUAGGUGGAUUGUUAAGUCAGUUGUGAAAGUUUGCGGCUCAACCGUAAAAUUGCAGUUGAAACUGGCAGUCUUGAGGACAGUAGAGGUGGGCGGAAUUCGUGGUGUAGCGGUGAAAUGCUUAGAUAUCACGAAGAACUCCGAUUGCGAAGGCAGUUCACUGGACUGCAACUGACACUGAGGCUCGAAAGUGUGGGUAUCAAACAGGAUUAGAUACCCGUGUAGUC